RNAcentral lists this ribosomal RNA (542 nucleotides) under Hyphopichia burtonii. RNAcentral's name for it is "partial large subunit ribosomal RNA". It matches the Rfam family "Eukaryotic large subunit ribosomal RNA", at positions 69 to 664 of the family's 3401-position model. Lineage: Eukaryota; Fungi; Ascomycota; Pichiomycetes; Serinales; Debaryomycetaceae. The record is from RNAcentral.
CGGGGAUUGCCCUCAGUAACGGCGAGUGAAGCGGCAAAAGCUCAAAUUUGGAAUCUCAGUCUUUCAGGCUGCGAGUUGUAAUUUGAAGACGUAUUUUGAAGUAAGCACAUGUCGAAGUUCCUUGGAACAGGACGUCACAGAGGGUGAGAAUCCCGUGCGAUGUGUUCACUGCUUCAUGUAAAAUGCAGUCGAAGAGUCGAGUUGUUUGGGAAUGCAGCUCUAAGUGGGUGGUAAAUUCCAUCUAAAGCUAAAUAUUGGCGAGAGACCGAUAGCGAACAAGUACAGUGAUGGAAAGAUGAAAAGAACUUUGAAAAGAGAGUGAAAAAGUACGUGAAAUUGUUGAAAGGGAAGGGCUUGAGAUCAGACUCGGGCAACCGGGCCAGCAUGGGGUGGGGGAGUAGGAUAACCCUGCAGGAAAGUGGCUUCGCUUCGGUGGAGUGUUAUAGCCUGUAGCUAUACUGCUACCCUCGCCCGAGGACUGCGGAAACAAGGAUGCUGGCAUAAUGAUCUUAAGCCGCCCGUCUAAAAAACGGGAAACAAAA